Molecule: non-coding RNA, 97 nt
Organism: Sarcophilus harrisii (Tasmanian devil)
Lineage: Eukaryota; Metazoa; Chordata; Mammalia; Dasyuromorphia; Dasyuridae
Source: Rfam
AUGGAGACAUGGCAUAAAGCCAGAGAGAGAAAGAGACAGAAAGAAAGAAAAAGAGACUAAUUAGACUGUCAACUUGAAAAGAUUCGCAUCUCAUUUU